UAAUACCGGAUAGAUCAAAGAUACUGGAAUGUUCCUUGAUCCAAAGCUCCGGCGUCCAAGGAUGGAUCUGCGGCCUAUCAGGUAGUAGUGGGUGUAACGUACCUACUAGCCUACGACGGGUACGGGUUGUGAGAGCAAGAGCCCGGAGAUGGAUUCUGAGACAUGAAUCCAGGCCCUACGGGGCGCAGCAGGCGCGAAAUCUUUACAAUGCAGGAAACUGCGAUAAGGGGACCCCGAGUGCCAGCAUCUAAUGCUGGCUGUCCAGCUGUGUAAAUAGCAGUUGUUAGCAAGGGCCGGGCAAGACCGGUGCCAGCCGCCGCGGUAACACCGGCGGCCCGAGUGGUAACCGAUUUUAUUGGGUUUAAAGGGUCCGUAGCCGGCCUAUUAAGUCUCUUGGGAAAUCUGGCGGCUCAAUCGUCAGGCGUCC
RNAcentral lists this ribosomal RNA (427 nucleotides) under uncultured archaeon. RNAcentral's name for it is "bacterial SSU rRNA". It matches the Rfam family "Archaeal small subunit ribosomal RNA", at positions 147 to 575 of the family's 1478-position model. The record is from RNAcentral.